Molecule: microRNA precursor, 102 nt
Filed under: Marmota monax (woodchuck)
Lineage: Eukaryota; Metazoa; Chordata; Mammalia; Rodentia; Sciuridae
Source: RNAcentral
AGAGGGAUAGCUGGGUAAAAUGUGGUUCCAUUCCAAGUUUUCCAAGGAAUCUCCAUACUGCUUUCCAUAAUGGCUGCACCAAUUUGCAGUCCCACCAGCAAU